This 253-nucleotide ribosomal RNA is filed under the name uncultured bacterium. RNAcentral's name for it is "partial 16S ribosomal RNA". It matches the Rfam family "Bacterial small subunit ribosomal RNA", at positions 524 to 776 of the family's 1533-position model. The record is from RNAcentral.
GACGUAGGGCGCGAGCGUUGUCCGGAUUUAUUGGGCGUAAAGAGCUCGUAGGCGGCUUGUUGCGUCGGCUGUGAAAACCCGCGGCUUAACCGUGGGCUUGCAGCCGAUACGGGCAGACUAGAGUUCGGUAGGGGAGUCUGGAAUUCCCGGUGUAGUGGUGAUAUGCGUAGAUAUCGGGAGGAACACCUGUGGCGAAGGCGGCUUUCUGGGCCUUACCUGACGCUGAGACGCGAAAGCGUGGGGAGCGAACCGG